Long non-coding RNA from Oreochromis niloticus (Nile tilapia), 248 nucleotides. RefSeq lists it as uncharacterized. The transcript is spliced from 2 exons. Lineage: Eukaryota; Metazoa; Chordata; Actinopteri; Cichliformes; Cichlidae. The record is from RefSeq and is a predicted model, not a curated record.
ACAGGGCCCUGGUGAACAAACUCUGUAACUACAACACUCUUUCUGACCUUUGACCUCAUGUGUUGAUGACUGUUCACCUCUGUCUCCUCUCACAGGGAGAAGAUGAUCUGCAGGAUCCUGCUGCUCAUCAUCCUCACCUCAUGUGUCUCUGGAUCAUUUGUAGUCAAUGUGACACAGACCUCCUAUCAGGCAGAGGAGAACCACAACAUCACACUGGAGUGGACGUUCACCACCAAACCUGACAGAUC